GCCGCUAUGGUGAAAUUGGUAGACACGCUGCUCUUAGGAGGCAGUGCUAGCGCAUCUCGGUUCAAGUCCGAGUAGCGGCA
RNAcentral lists this transfer RNA (80 nucleotides) under Cuscuta gronovii. RNAcentral describes it as "tRNA-Leu". It matches the Rfam family "tRNA". Rfam says of the family: Transfer RNA (tRNA) molecules are approximately 80 nucleotides in length. Their secondary structure includes four short double-helical elements and three loops (D, anti-codon, and T loops). The record is from RNAcentral. RNAcentral also lists the same sequence under 4 other names. Lineage: Eukaryota; Viridiplantae; Streptophyta; Magnoliopsida; Solanales; Convolvulaceae.